CCUCAUCCCACUCCGAGGCGAAGGAGGGUGACUUCUCUAGCCUUUUCUUCCCAAUGCUGCAGUUGGAUAAGGACUCACUCCGACUCCCCAUGGUAGCGUCCUCUGUGGGUGAGCAGGUCAGGAGAUCAGAGUCAGACUUGGACAAGCUGCGGCUGAGUUUGAGUUCAGCUUUGGGUUUGCUAGUGGGAGGCGCUCGGCUCCUGGCCCCACUCCGGUCUCCUUCCUCAGCACCACCAGGGUGCGGAGAUGCUGUGUGAGUCA
This 261-nucleotide long non-coding RNA is filed under the name Homo sapiens (human). RNAcentral's name for it is "HSALNT0105418". Lineage: Eukaryota; Metazoa; Chordata; Mammalia; Primates; Hominidae. The record is from RNAcentral.